UACAGAGGGUGCGAGCGUUAAUCGGAAUUACUGGGCGUAAAGCGCGCGUAGGCGGCUUUGCAAGUCGAGUGUGAAAUCCCCAGGCUUAACCUGGGAACUGCAUUCGAGACUGCAUUGCUAGAGUAUGGGAGAGGGAAGUGGAAUUUCCGGUGUAGCGGUGAAAUGCGUAGAUAUCGGAAGGAACAUCAGUGGCGAAAGCGACUUCCUGGACCAAUACUGACGCUCAUGUGCGAAAGCGUGGGGAGCAAACAGG
RNAcentral lists this ribosomal RNA (253 nucleotides) under uncultured bacterium. RNAcentral's name for it is "partial 16S ribosomal RNA". It matches the Rfam family "Bacterial small subunit ribosomal RNA", at positions 524 to 776 of the family's 1533-position model. The record is from RNAcentral.